Molecule: transfer RNA, 76 nt
Filed under: bacterium
Lineage: Bacteria
Description: tRNA-Ala
Rfam family: tRNA
About the family: Transfer RNA (tRNA) molecules are approximately 80 nucleotides in length.
Source: RNAcentral
GGGCCGUUAGCUCAGUCGGGAGAGCGUCGCGUUUGCAAUGCGAAGGUCAGCGGUUCGAUCCCGCUACGGUCCACCA